CGCAUCUGUGUAUGCAGCAUAUCAAUAAGCGGAGGAAAAGAAACUAACAAGGAUUCCCUUAGUAACGGCGAGUGAAGCGGGAAGAGCUCAAAUUUGAAAUCUUCAAGGUUUUACCUUGACGAAUUGUAGUUUAAAGAAGUGUUUUCUGUUGAAGUUUUGGUAGAAGUUCUUUGGAAUAGGACAUCAUAGAGGGUGAGAAUCCCGUAUUUGACCAUUAUUUUCAGCUGUGUGAUACACUUUCAAAGAGUCGGAUUGUUUGGGAAUGCAGUCCAAAAUGGGUGGUAAAUUUCAUCUAAAGCUAAAUAUUGGCGAGAGACCGAUAGCGAACAAGUACCGUGAGGGAAAGACGAAAAGAACUUUGAAAAGAGAGUUAAACAGUACGUGAAAUUGUCAAAAGGGAAGCGUUUGACACCAGUGUUGUUUUCUCGAAAAUCAAUUAAAAGGAGUUUGAUUUUGUUGUGUAUUGACCUUAACAGCUUGCAUUUCAAUUUUCUUGCUUUUUUUAAUGCACUUUUCGUUUAACAAGUCAACAUCAGUUUCUUUUGUUGUAAAAAGGUCAUUGGAAGGUGGCUUUCUUUUCGGAGAAAGUGUUUAUAGCCUUUGACUCCUGCAAUCGGAGAGACUGAGGUCUGCAGCGUAGAUCCUUCGGGGUUAGAUACAUUUGUGCUAAGUUAUAGCUUUUUAUAGACAACUUGUUGACUAUGAUUAGUCUUGUAGCUUACUCGCUUAUGCUAUUUUACCUACGCUUAGGAUGUUGACACACGCGCGUGCUCGAUGAUAGUCUAUACAUGACUCUGUGCAUAUCAAUAAGCGGAGGAAAAGGUCACAUUUGGUUACCUACGCUUAGGAUGUUGACACACGCGCGUGCUCGAUGAUAGUCUAUACAUGACUCUGCGCAUAUCAAUAAGCGGAGGAAAAGGCUGCGGAACUGAACGACCGCUACCUACGCUUAGGAUGUUGACAGCAGUAUAGACUGU
Molecule: ribosomal RNA, 977 nt
Filed under: uncultured Neocallimastigales
Lineage: Eukaryota; Fungi; Neocallimastigomycota; Neocallimastigomycetes; Neocallimastigales
Description: partial large subunit ribosomal RNA
Rfam family: Eukaryotic large subunit ribosomal RNA
Source: RNAcentral